GCCUGGCUAGCUCAGUUGGUAAAGCAUGAGACUCUUAAUCUCAGGGUCAUUGGUUCAAGCCCCACAUUGGGUG
Molecule: transfer RNA, 73 nt
Filed under: Erinaceus europaeus (western European hedgehog)
Lineage: Eukaryota; Metazoa; Chordata; Mammalia; Eulipotyphla; Erinaceidae
Rfam family: tRNA
About the family: Transfer RNA (tRNA) molecules are approximately 80 nucleotides in length. Their secondary structure includes four short double-helical elements and three loops (D, anti-codon, and T loops).
Source: Rfam by way of RNAcentral